This 74-nucleotide transfer RNA is filed under the name Chloracidobacterium thermophilum B. RNAcentral describes it as "Candidatus Chloracidobacterium thermophilum B tRNA". It matches the Rfam family "tRNA". From Rfam's summary of the family: Transfer RNA (tRNA) molecules are approximately 80 nucleotides in length. Their secondary structure includes four short double-helical elements and three loops (D, anti-codon, and T loops). Further hydrogen bonds mediate the characteristic L-shaped molecular structure. tRNAs have two regions of fundamental functional importance: the anti-codon, which is responsible for specific mRNA codon recognition, and the 3' end, to which the tRNAs corresponding amino acid is attached (by aminoacyl-tRNA synthetases). tRNAs cope with the degeneracy of the genetic code in two manners: having more than one tRNA (with a specific anti-codon) for a particular amino acid; and 'wobble' base-pairing, i.e. permitting non-standard base-pairing at the 3rd anti-codon position. The record is from Rfam by way of RNAcentral. Lineage: Bacteria; Pseudomonadati; Acidobacteriota; Blastocatellia; Chloracidobacteriales; Chloracidobacteriaceae.
GCAUCCUUAGCUCAGUUGGAUAGAGCGUUGGCCUCCGGAGCCAAAGGUCGCUGGUUCGAAUCCAGCAGGAUGCA